CGCAACCCCUAUCAUCUGUUGCCAGCAUUUAAGGUGGGGACGUCAGAUGAGACUGCCGGUGACAAACCGGAGGAAGGUGGGGACGACGUCAAGUCAUCAUGGCCCUUAUGUCCUGGGCUACACACGUGCUACAAUGGCCGGUACAGAGUGAAGCGAAACCGCGAGGUGAAGCAAAACGCAGAAAAGCCGGUCUCAGUACGGAUUGGAGUCUGAAACUCGACUUCAUGAAGUUGGAAUCGCUAGUAAUCGCGCAUCAGCAUGGCGCGGUGAAUACGUUCCCGGGCCUU
RNAcentral lists this ribosomal RNA (287 nucleotides) under uncultured Spirochaeta sp. RNAcentral describes it as "partial 16S ribosomal RNA". It matches the Rfam family "Bacterial small subunit ribosomal RNA", at positions 1097 to 1382 of the family's 1533-position model. Lineage: Bacteria; Pseudomonadati; Spirochaetota; Spirochaetia; Spirochaetales; Spirochaetaceae. The record is from RNAcentral.